AUCGAGGUUAAAGGUACCCGUACCGCAAACCGACACAGGUGGGUGAGGAGAGUAUCCUAAGGCCAGCGAGAGAACUGUUGUUAAGGAACUCGGCAAAAUGACCCCGUAACUUAGGGAUAAGGGGUGCCACCAUCAGGUGGCCGCAGAGAAUAGGCCCAAGCGACUGUUUACCAAAAACAUAGGUUUCUGCUAAGUCGAAAGACGAUGUAUAGGAGCUGACGCCUGCCCGGUGCUGGAAGGUUAAGGGGAUCUGUUAGAGCAAUCGAAGCAGUGAACUUAAGCCCCAGUAAACGGCGGCCGUAACUAUAACGGUCCUAAGGUAGCG
This 325-nucleotide ribosomal RNA is filed under the name Clostridioides difficile. RNAcentral describes it as "bacterial LSU rRNA". It matches the Rfam family "Bacterial large subunit ribosomal RNA", at positions 1625 to 1961 of the family's 2925-position model. The record is from RNAcentral. Lineage: Bacteria; Bacillati; Bacillota; Clostridia; Peptostreptococcales; Peptostreptococcaceae.